GGGGGGAGCACCAGAUCCUGGGCUGUGUUCCCCGGUGCCUUGGGCUACGGGGCCUGCCUCGCUGGGAUCAUGCUCCUGGAGCUGCACAGCCCCCU
RNAcentral lists this microRNA precursor (95 nucleotides) under Canis lupus familiaris (dog). RNAcentral describes it as "mir-8799 microRNA precursor family". It matches the Rfam family "mir-8799 microRNA precursor family". RNAcentral also lists the same sequence under 1 other name. The record is from Rfam by way of RNAcentral. Lineage: Eukaryota; Metazoa; Chordata; Mammalia; Carnivora; Canidae.